CAUUCUCCUCUCGGUCAUAUUCCGCCACCAUCUCAUUCUUCUACCUCAUUGCCCUUCUUUCUCUUUGUUCCUCCUGCUGUCUCACUGAAUGGCCAUCUUUGUACCUUUUCAUCGCAUUUGACUAUUCUUCCUCAAUCAUUCCACCUGUAAUUGUAUUCUUUAGUAUCUGUUUUGUAGUUAUUUACCCCUCUUUGCCUGGUUAGAGGGUUGAAAUAUCUCUGAAUCUUGGUGGAGUGAGCUGUCUGUAUGUUUUAGUGACAGCUCUCCUGUUUACUUGCAUUUCAGCCUCCAAAUCAUGGGUCCUCAAACUCCGGCC
Pelobates cultripes (western spadefoot toad) is the source of this 316-nucleotide non-coding RNA. The record is from the annotation of a GenBank genome assembly. Lineage: Eukaryota; Metazoa; Chordata; Amphibia; Anura; Pelobatidae.